Molecule: ribosomal RNA, 500 nt
Filed under: uncultured bacterium
Lineage: Bacteria
Description: partial 16S ribosomal RNA
Rfam family: Bacterial small subunit ribosomal RNA
Source: RNAcentral
AUUGAACGCUGGCGGAAUGCUUUACACAUGCAAGUCGAACGGCAGCACGGACUUCGGUCUGGUGGCGAAUGGCGAACGGGUGAGUAAUACAUCGGAACGUGCCCAGUCGUGGGGGAUAACGUAGCGAAAGCUACGCUAAUACCGCAUACGAUCUAAGGAUGAAAGCGGGGGAUCGCAAGACCUCGCGCGAUUGGAGCGGCCGAUGGCAGAUUAGGUAGUUGGUAGGGUAAAGGCCUACCAAGCCGACGAUCUGUAGCUGGUCUGAGAGGACGACCAGGCACACUGGGACUGAGACACGGCCCAGACUCCUACGGGAGGCAGCAGUGGGGAAUUUUGGACAAUGGACGCAAGUCUGAUCCAGCCAUUCCGCGUGGAGGAUGAAGGCCCUCGGGUUGUAAACUGAUUUUGUACAGAACGAAAAGGCUCUGGUUAAUACCUGGAGCUCAUGACGGUACUGUAAGAAUAAGCACCGGCUAACUACGUGCCAGCCGCCGCAGUAA